This is a long non-coding RNA of Hippocampus zosterae (dwarf seahorse), 2168 nucleotides long. RefSeq lists it as uncharacterized. The record is from RefSeq and is a predicted model, not a curated record. The transcript is spliced from 4 exons. Lineage: Eukaryota; Metazoa; Chordata; Actinopteri; Syngnathiformes; Syngnathidae.
UAUGAUCUGAUAAGGUUGUAGCCAAACAGGAACAGGUAAUAAUGUUAGUGACAUCAGAAAGAUAGCAGUUCUUGAAUAUAUAUUAAGCACAUUGGAAUAAUAGGAAAAGUCCUUCAUCCUGGGAUUUCAAAGUCGCCAAGUGCAUUCAUACCUUGACUCAGUAAGAUAGCAGAUUUGACAAAUUGGUAUUCUUGGGGACCAAGCGCUCUAACAAAGCAGGCAUGUCCAGCUCUGGCCGGGCCUGCAGGGCCACUGUCCUGCCUGUUUUCCAUCUCUCCUGAUUCAGAUGAUCAGUUCUGAAGCGGCAAUAAAACAUUCAGGAUUAUUUGAAUCAGGUGUGUUGCUCCUGGGAGAGCUGGAAAACAGGCAGGACAGCACCCUACACCGAGGAGAAUUUCAUGGCUAAGGAAGGACCAAUCGUAGCCUCGAGGCAGAAGAGAAGUAGGCAAGAGCCUGACAGGAUGAACCCCGGGGAGCUCUAACUUGGCAGCCCAGUCAGAUGAGCCUCUCCCCUCACCCAAUCACAGGAGAUUACAACACAAAAGUACAUCAUCCGACACCCCCUCCUCACAUCACCUGAGGCCAUGGCACCAUGCAGUUGCUCCAAGAGUUGUUCUCUCGGUCCCGCACAUGUUCUCCGUCUGUCUUAAGACUUUUAUGAACGUCUUACUUUGCCUCUCCUCAAACAUCUAAUUGUUGCCUCCUUCUUCUAUCCUGUGCUGACAGCCUCAAUGAGGUAGGUCCAACGGCAGACAUCUAAAAAAUGCAACUCGGACAAUUAUUAGAACAGCAUGUCGUCGCAAAUGCAUUCGGUAGAAAAGGAAAUUACAUCGCAACAUGUGUUUAGAGUUUCAACACUUGGCACUCAAGCAGACAGUGUGAGAUGCAGCCGCUUGGAUCGUGUGCGUUUGUGUGAGAGGGAGAGAGACAACCACGUAUAUGAAAAACCAAACUAAUUGGAUAACACGUACACUUGGAUAAAAAUGUUGAUGGACUGGUUUGUUUUUUUAACCCAUCAAAAUAUUGGGAAGCUGUAACAAGUGCGACAAGAUGUUGGCUCAUGCCUCACUUGCUAAUUCCAUCCAAAACAUCUGUAGUUAAACUAUGCACGCCAUACAGAGCCAAUACAUAUUGUUUUUUUGCUACUGUUCGAAAAGGUUUGUCAUACAAAAUGAACAAUGGGCAUUUUGAAAGGAGUUGUCAAUGAAUCCAAGUGAGAGGAUAUCAUAUACAGCCUCUCAGGAAGAGCCAUUGUCUGUCGGGGAGAUUAGUAUCUUCAAACAUACCCAAUAGGGGACAUCCUAGCGGAUGUUUAUGAGUGAAAGUAUAGCCACAUUAUCACCUAUUUUGCUGAGAAUGGGUGAGUAACUUUUCUUGUGGGCGGUGAGUCACUUAACUCCAGUCGACUGUGGUCAGCUUUUCAUGGACUCCCUUGACUUUAUUGUCGUGUAAACACAUCCGUGAAAUGUGACAUCUGCAUGUAGCCAAGCGCAGUCAUGAACGCAGCAGGGCCGCGCUGUUGAUGAAGCGAACAGGCAACAGGAAGCUUUCCAGCUUAAUGGGAGCAGUUGGGAGGUGGAUUCGAACCAAAGGGCCCUUUCCUGGCCACGGGUCGAGACACUCCUCUACAGCUGCUCCAAAAUGGAGGAGGAAGGGUGGAGAACCGUAAAUAUAGUUGAGUGAGUGCAUGUCAUUGUUUCUCUCCCGCCAUGUGAUUACAGUCAGGAAGUCAUUUUUUACACAAUUUCAAGUCUCUUAUCAAGCCACGUCCAUAUCUUGAUUACAUUUGAACAUCAUCCAAAUUACGCCGGGGGACGCAAUAUUGGAUUUGUAUGACUAUUUACGUCAGAACAAUUCGUUAAGUUCAAGAGGCGGUGUGGUUUUCCUGACGUGGAUGAUUACAAGUGGACAGAUCAGUGCAAAGUCACACGAAAAACCAUGUGGAGCCUGCAAUGGGAUUCAACUCACACAUGUAGAGAACAGUGUAAAAUUCAUCUUCUGGAGUAACUUCUCUAUAAAAGAUUUUUUGAAAAGUGUGCUUUUCUUUUUAAUCAUCACGUUACAUUGUCCAUUUGUCAUGAUGACAAAAGACAUAUAUUAAAAAUUCUGGGGGGGGGGGGUAUUUUGGAUGGAAGAAAGGCGCACAUUUCUUUCCAUCCAAAACUUGU